Phragmites australis (common reed) is the source of this 638-nucleotide long non-coding RNA. RefSeq lists it as uncharacterized. NCBI's taxonomy places the organism in Eukaryota, Viridiplantae, Streptophyta, Magnoliopsida, Poales, Poaceae. The transcript is spliced from 2 exons. The record is from RefSeq and is a predicted model, not a curated record.
AAAAAAAUUUGGAGAUGGCAAGGAGGAGAACCAAAAAACGUGACCUACCCUUGUCAAAGCCAUGCUAGACUGGCCUUUCUCAGCUAGCCUUGCCCAGCCUCCCCUAGAAAGACAACCAAGCAAACCCUCUCUCACAGAUCUAGCACACGAGGACGAUACAAUGGUUGUGUGGUGUGCAGUGGUUGAUAGGUAGUGUUUGGCUGCUUAAUGCUCGCGUUCUAGGUAGUGACACAAGUUCAAUAAUCUGGUGAGCGGUGACUACUUUCCUGUGAUUGCAGAAUGGUACUACAAGUGUGUGUGCCGGUUGCUCAUUCUGUCGGAUGAUGCCAAGUGGAUCUUCAUAAAACUCUUCAGAACGAAACAUCCUUCCGGUUUCAGAUGUCAUGACCUGUGAUGUCCGUUGUCAGUAGGAGUUACGACAUGGAUUUUUGUUGUACUUCUAGUAAAGUUCCUGUGUAAACUCAAUCUUAUGUCGUAAAACAGGCACUUGCAGUUCAUGUGUAACACUCGAUGCAUGCAGCACCCCAUCAGUACUGUGCUGAUUUUUUUUUUCUAACUGAUCUGUGUAAUAUGACUUGUACUGUCCGAGUUGUGUUUGAGGUCUGGUUAGAGGCAGUACGUACAUGAUUUUUUUGUUA